RNAcentral lists this ribosomal RNA (459 nucleotides) under uncultured bacterium. RNAcentral's name for it is "partial 16S ribosomal RNA". It matches the Rfam family "Bacterial small subunit ribosomal RNA", at positions 338 to 795 of the family's 1533-position model. The record is from RNAcentral.
CCUACGGGAGGCAGCAGUGAGGAAUAUUGGUCAAUGGGCGAGAGCCUGAACCAGCCAAGUCGCGUGAAGGAUGACGGCCCUACGGGUUGUAAACUUCUUUUGUCAGGGAGCAAUUGAGUCCACGUGUGGGCUUAGCGAGAGUACCUGAAGCAAAAGCAUCGGUAACUCCGUGCCAGCAGCCGCGGUAAUUCGGAGGAUGCGACCGUUAUCCGGAUUUAUUGGGUUUAAAGGGUGCGUAGGCGGAAUGUUAAUUCAGUGGUAAAAGUUCGGGGCCCAACCCCGUCGUGCCGUUGAAACUGAUGUGCGUGAGUGGGCGAGAAGUAUGCGGAAUGCGUGGGGUAGCGGUGAAAUGCAUAGAUAUCACGCAGAACUCCGAUUGCGAAGGCAGCAUACCGGCGCCCAACUGACGCUGAAGCACGAAAGCGUGGGUAUCGAACAGGAUUAGAUACCCGUGUAGUC